RNAcentral lists this microRNA precursor (114 nucleotides) under Phaseolus vulgaris (common bean). Its description in RNAcentral is "pre miRNA MIR398". It matches the Rfam family "MIR398 microRNA precursor family". Lineage: Eukaryota; Viridiplantae; Streptophyta; Magnoliopsida; Fabales; Fabaceae. The record is from Rfam by way of RNAcentral.
AGGGGUUCUACAGGGUCGUCCCGAGACCACAUGAGAAUGCAUAUUUUAUUUGCUUGUGGCCUUGUAUGAGAAUGCUCAGCUCAUGUGUUCUCAGGUCGCCCCUGCUGGACUUUU